UCUCGCGCUGGCCCCAUGGCCUCGGCCUCCUCCUCCUCCUGCAGCUGCUGCCGCCGUCGACCCUCAGCCAGGACCGGCUGGACGCGCCGCCGCCGCCCGCUGCGCCGCUGCCGCGCUGGUCUGGCCCCAUCGGGGUGAGCUGGGGGCUGCGGGCGGCCGCAGCCGGGGGCGCGUUUCCCCGCGGCGGCCGUUGGCGUCGCAGCGCGCCGGGCGAGGACGAGGAGUGCGGCCGGGUCCGGGACUUCGUCGCCAAGCUGGCCAACAACACGCACCAGUUGUCAAAAUCUCUUGAACAUCGUUUUUCGUCUGUAUAAAUAAUCAGGACCCAGUAACGCUGUUAGGCCCCAGGAAGGUGAAGGAGUAAUUAACUCUUGAGCGCUUGCAGAAGUUGGGCUGCGCAGAAGCAAAGCAUGUGUUUGAUGAUCUCAGAGGCUCAGUAUCCUUGUCCUGGGUUGGAGAUAGCACUGGG
Molecule: long non-coding RNA, 469 nt
Filed under: Homo sapiens (human)
Lineage: Eukaryota; Metazoa; Chordata; Mammalia; Primates; Hominidae
Description: non-protein coding lnc-PSMA5-1:1
Source: RNAcentral